GCCCGCGUAGCUCAAUCGGAUAGAGCGUGAGACUUUUAAGCCUUGGAUUAACACCAGGCGACGAGAUCUCAAGGCUGCGGGUUCGACCCCCGCCGUGGGCU
Trametes polyzona is the source of this 101-nucleotide non-coding RNA. Lineage: Eukaryota; Fungi; Basidiomycota; Agaricomycetes; Polyporales; Polyporaceae. The record is from the annotation of a GenBank genome assembly.